This 428-nucleotide ribosomal RNA is filed under the name uncultured prokaryote. Its description in RNAcentral is "bacterial SSU rRNA". It matches the Rfam family "Bacterial small subunit ribosomal RNA", at positions 355 to 774 of the family's 1533-position model. The record is from RNAcentral.
UGAGGAAUCUUGCGCAAUGGGGGAAACCCUGACGCAGCAACGCCGCGUGAGUGAGGAAGGCCUUCGGGUCGUAAAGCUCUGUCGGGUGGAAAGAAAUGUAUAAGUGUUAAUAGCAUUUAUGCUUGACGGUACCACCAAAGGAAGCACCGGCUAACUCCGUGCCAGCAGCCGCGGUAAUACGGGGGGUGCAAGCGUUGUUCGGAAUCAUUGGGCGUAAAGAGCGUGUAGGCGGCCGGACAAGUCAGAGGUGAAAGCCCUGGGCUCAACCCAGGAAGUGCAUUUGAAACUGUGCGGCUAGAGUAUGGGAGAGGGAAGUGGAAUUCCUGGUGUAGAGGUGAAAUUCGUAGAUAUCAGGAGGAACACCGGUGGCGAAGGCGACUUCCUGGCCCUAUACUGACGCUGAGACGCGAGAGCGUGGGGAGCAAACA